UUGCAAUUCCGAAAUACUUAU
Molecule: non-coding RNA, 21 nt
Organism: Caenorhabditis elegans
Lineage: Eukaryota; Metazoa; Nematoda; Chromadorea; Rhabditida; Rhabditidae
Source: Ensembl